GAGAUUCGAAAUGAGUGUUUCAGAUGCCACAUUUUACAAAUGAUCGCAAGCAACCUGGCAAACACCACGCACCCAAGUAUCGUCGGUAACGUCGUCAAACAUGUUGAGCAUGCGAUAGGAGCUGGUGUUGCGAUUCCGUCCGCGAGGUGGCUCUACCUCAAGUGAUCUGCGAGAAUCAAAAACGCGGCAAGACUACACGCCUGUAUUUCUGUAGUAUUUUUCAGUCCCAUGUUUAGGGUGAUACGUCGCAUUUUUAGCAGUAUUGUGAACUGGGAGUUUACGAAACUGGCAGUAAUGACUGAUCCUGUAUUUCCUACAACGCUGAAAGAUUUUGGAUACGCUUUUGAUGAAGGCGGGAAACUUCGAAAGCUUGAUCAAAGCACCGGCCUCACUACUGACGGUGGAUUCGAGUUUAACGUUACCGAAGACCAUGCUUACAAUCAGAAACGAUACGAAGCGCUCGGUCAGGUAAUUGAUUUGCACAUCUAUGACCUCCUAGAGAAAGAAGGUCUGAAAAAAUUGUUCGUGCCGAAGGAGGCGUCGUCAAAGGCACCGGAGCUAAAGUCGUUCAUAUUCGUUAGCGAAGACGCAUUGCUGAACGACAAGCUUAUGAUAUUGAUACAUGGCAGCGGAGUUGUAAGAGCCGGUCAAUGGGCAAGGCGAUUAAUUAUAAACGACAAUCUAGAGACCGGCACGCAGUUGCCUUACAUAAGAAAAGCACGAGAGCUUGGAUACGCGGUAAUGGUUCUCAACACAAACGACAAUUUCCGUACCGUAAACGGAAAGCCGACUGAAAUACCGGGUAGCAAGGAUCCUCAUAGUCACGUCGAAACCGUCUGGAAGCAGUACAUCGAGCCCUCGAAUGCGAAGCACGUAGCAAUCGUUGCGCACAGCUACGGUGGCGUUUGCGUCGUUAAAUUGGCGGUAGACCAUGCGGAAGAAUUUCGACGCAGAGUAUUUGCUGUCGGGCUAACCGACUCUGUGCACAUGAUUACUUCAGCAAAAGACACAAAACACAUUUUGAAGGUGGCGCGAAAUUGGGUAUCCUCAGAGAAGCCCCUGGACACCCCGGAGCGAUCGCCUGACGGUGACAUCGAACGGUGUUCUGCGGGACAUGCGAUCCACGAGAUGACGUCGUACUCCUGCAUGGAGUCCCUUUUCCAAUUCGUAGAGGAGAGGUUCAACGAGGCGAGAGGAAAAUCCGAUCUCUAAACGAUUCCGAAUCUCCAGUUUUCGAUUUUGUCUUCAUAUUUUUUUUUUUUUUUACACUAUAAUGUGCGUAUUUUGUAUAGCAAUAAUCGUGAUAUCAAUUUACCCACGUGUGUGCGUGUGUGAUUUUGAUAUGCAUCCCGAUUAUACUUAUAAAUUAAUCGCUUUUCAAGAUACCUGCACAUUUGAUAUUCCUUUUUUUUUUUUUAUCAUCACUACCGACAGACGAGGGGAUGCAGGGAAAUAUCAACUGUGUACCUCAACGGUAGAACUUGGCGGACACAAAACAGUCCUGCCAUCGUGCAAGCGUCAAAGCGUAAUUUCGUUAUGGGGUUGUAAUUGUAUUACCGGCGUUCUCGGCCGGCGGCACAAAUUAUAGUGUCAAUGUAACGACAAAGGGCAUGAUGUUACACAAUAAUAAAAUGAUUGCCUUAGCCGGUGAGGAUAACCUUCCGAAAAACUGACGCACCCUGCUCGUUAUUACUUAUACGUGAAUAUACGCAUCUGCCCUGCGAGGAUUUAAUUAUCUAUGUAAAAACUAUUACGUACAUGCAAUAUUUAUCUGUAUAUGGGAUCGAAAUUUUUCAUCAAAUCGUUUUUAAAUCAUCGGCGAUAACGAAGGAAGGAAAAUUUAUAACUGAAAUUGAAAGGAGAUAAAAUCUUUUACCGCAUCCCGACAAAUAUAGUAAUUUUCAAGAAUCGCAAUGAAAAUACAAAUCUGAUA
RNAcentral lists this unclassified non-coding RNA (1933 nucleotides) under Neodiprion pinetum (white pine sawfly). Its description in RNAcentral is "fAM172 family protein homolog CG10038, transcript variant X4". The record is from RNAcentral. Lineage: Eukaryota; Metazoa; Arthropoda; Insecta; Hymenoptera; Diprionidae.